Molecule: ribosomal RNA, 402 nt
Filed under: uncultured Hyphomicrobiales bacterium
Lineage: Bacteria; Pseudomonadati; Pseudomonadota; Alphaproteobacteria; Hyphomicrobiales
Description: uncultured Rhizobiales bacterium partial 16S ribosomal RNA
Rfam family: Bacterial small subunit ribosomal RNA
Source: RNAcentral
UGGGGAAUAUUGGACAAUGGGCGCAAGCCUGAUCCAGCCAUGCCGCGUGAGUGAUGAAGGCCUUAGGGUUGUAAAGCUCUUUCGCACGCGACGAUAAUGACGGUAGCGUGAGAAGAAGCCCCGGCUAACUUCGUGCCAGCAGCCGCGGUAAUACGAAGGGGGCUAGCGUUGCUCGGAAUCACUGGGCGUAAAGCGCACGUAGGCGGAUUUUUAAGUCAGGGGUGAAAUCCCAAGGCUCAACCUUGGAACUGCCUUUGAUACUGGGGAUCUCGAGUCCGGAAGAGGUUGGUGGAACUGCGAGUGUAGAGGUGAAAUUCGUAGAUAUUCGCAAGAACACCAGUGGCGAAGGCGGCCAACUGGUCCGGAACUGACGCUGAGGUGCGAAAGCGUGGGGAGCAAACA